UACGUAGGGGGCAAGCGUUGUCCGGAAUCAUUGGGCGUAAAGAGCGUGUAGGCGGCCUGGUAAGUCCGCUGUGAAAGUCCAGGGCUCAACCCUGGAAUGCCGGUGGAAACUGUCAGGCUCGAGUCCGGAAGAGGCGAGUGGAAUUCCUGGUGUAGCGGUGAAAUGCGCAGAUAUCAGGAGGAACACCAAUGGCGAAGGCGGCUCACUGGCCCGGUACUGACGCUGAGACGCGAAAGCGUGGGGAGCAAACAGG
Molecule: ribosomal RNA, 253 nt
Filed under: uncultured bacterium
Lineage: Bacteria
Description: partial 16S ribosomal RNA
Rfam family: Bacterial small subunit ribosomal RNA
Source: RNAcentral